UGGGGGAUAGCCCGGGGAAACUCGGAUUAAUACCGCGUGUGGUUCUGCAGGACAUCCUGUGGAACUAAAGGUGGCGCAAGCUGCCGCUUCCAGAUGGGCUCGCGGCCUAUCAGCUUGUUGGUGAGGUAACGGCUCACCAAGGCUCCGACGGGUAACUGGUCUGAGAGGAUGAUCAGUCACACUGGAACUGAGACACGGUCCAGACACCUACCGGGUGGCAGCAGUCGAGAAUCAUUCGCAAUGGGCGAAAGCCUGACGGUGCGACGCCGCGUGGAGGAUGACGGGCCCUCGGGUUGUAAACUCCUGUCAUCAGAGAGUAAGGCUCUUGCGAGUAACUGCGCAGGAGAUUGAUAGUAUCUGAAGAGGAAGGGACGGCUAACUUCGUG
This 386-nucleotide ribosomal RNA is filed under the name uncultured bacterium. RNAcentral describes it as "bacterial SSU rRNA". It matches the Rfam family "Bacterial small subunit ribosomal RNA", at positions 137 to 507 of the family's 1533-position model. The record is from RNAcentral.